AAUUAAAAAUUAUGUCUACAAAUGUCAGUUAUUUUAAUAACAAAUUCAAAAAAAAAAACUUCCCCUCCAAUUAGCAGCUGCAUUUCAUCAGAUUUUCUCAAAUAACCUUCGAAGGGAGACAAUUUCGGUGUCGGCAUAACUAAAAUACGCAUGAAAUUCCUUUACAAAUUGUAACCGGAUGUUAUUCGUCAUCUGCCACACCAUGGGCCAUACAUCUUCUUAGGUGUAGCUGUAAACAUUAAUUAGAAUUAUAAUUGAAUGGAGGUCACAAAAGGAACGUGUGAGCAGCUUAAUGAAGGGUUGUUCGAGAUGUCAAGGUGUACCAUAGCGGAUUCUCAAGGUGUGAGUCUUUUACAACAGCAACAAAAAACAAAGCGGCAGCAGCAGCUUAUUUAUGUUGCCAAUUGAAUUGGAGUUUUUGUUCUUCUUAUUUUUCUAACCAAAAAUUACUUUUGAAUUAUUUUGUUUGAAGAGCAAGUUCAGUUUGUUUGUAGAAAAGAUAAAUUGUUUGUAAAAUGG
Molecule: long non-coding RNA, 519 nt
Organism: Musca domestica (house fly)
Lineage: Eukaryota; Metazoa; Arthropoda; Insecta; Diptera; Muscidae
Exons: 2
Source: RefSeq, a predicted model, not a curated record